RNAcentral lists this ribosomal RNA (236 nucleotides) under uncultured bacterium. RNAcentral describes it as "partial 16S ribosomal RNA". It matches the Rfam family "Bacterial small subunit ribosomal RNA", at positions 17 to 253 of the family's 1533-position model. The record is from RNAcentral.
UCCUGGCUCAAAUUGAACGCUGGCGGCAUGCCUUACACAUGCAAGUCGAACGGCAGCACGGAGCUUGCUCUGGUGGCGAGUGGCGAACGGGUGAGUAAUAUAUCGGAACGUACCCUGGAGUGGGGGAUAACGUAGCGAAAGUUACGCUAAUACCGCAUACGAUCUAAGGAUGAAAGUGGGGGAUUCGCAAGAACCUCAUGCUCCUGGAGCGGCCGAUAUCUGAUUAGCUAGUUGGU